Molecule: long non-coding RNA, 1512 nt
Organism: Magnolia sinica
Lineage: Eukaryota; Viridiplantae; Streptophyta; Magnoliopsida; Magnoliales; Magnoliaceae
Exons: 5
Source: RefSeq, a predicted model, not a curated record
UUGUAUUUGCAUGUGGUCCACAUGUGAAAAUCUCUAAUUUUGUGGGGCCCAUUACAGAUGACCCAUGUAAAAAAAUCUUCUAUAUUGAAAUACUAUAUCCCUUUAAUUGGCCAACAAAUAGAUUCUAAUAAUGAAAAAGGGAAAACAUGUGAAAUGACCCUUUAUUUAGUGUUAUUGUCGUUAAAUGACCUGUGCAUAAGAUAAUUGCUUGUACCACGUAGAGUGCUAGUUAAGAAGGGAAUGCUUGUGUAUGUUUUCUUUUGAAGGAUGAAUUUUACUAUAUAUAUAUAUAUAUAUAUAUAUAUAUAUAUUUAAAAGCCCAAAGGGCGAAAUGAGAAAACAGACAACAAAAUAGAUCAACAGAAAAGAAAAACUAAAAAUACAACACCUCAACCCCCAGCUUAGUCACCCCACUCCCUAAUCAUGAAGAACAAUCUGUUAACUAUAAAAACCUAGCAAUGACUAUUAUCCCUGAAGCAUCUUUCAUUCCUUUCCCACCAUAUGCCCCUCAAAGAUGCCAGCAAUGUUAUAAGCCAUUUCCAUUUGUCGGAUGAUGAGGGGAAGCCACCAUGCCAGGCCAUAAAGAGCCGACUCAAAGAGAAAUGCUAAUAGGAUGCUUUCCCAAACCCCUGCCACAAAGGUAGAAACUUUAUUUCUGAAAAUGCAUAUGAAGAUGUCAUUAGUCAGAUGAAGGAUUUAUCUAUUGAAACUGGUGGGAAGGGCACUUCCAAGAAAGAACUCGAUAGUCAACGCAGCUUUUUCUAUGAUAUUAUGGAAUGCAUUGAGGUUAGUACUCUUGUGAAGUGAUUUUGAAUGUUUGACAGAUAUACUAUAAGUGUAUUUUUUAUUUCUUUCGCAUCGAUAAAUGCUAACUAAUGCUCUCUUCAUGAAAGUGGAUGAAACUGUUGGUCUUGAAGGUACUGAAAAGGUAGCUAUUCUUGUUGAAUAUGUCUCACCUUCUUCCAAUGCUCAGCCUACAACUACACAAGAUAGUGCCUUUGUUCCUACUUCACUUCACAUGGUGACUGCAACAUACCCAUUAAUGCAACUCUCAUCUACGACAAUCUUUUCAUUGGAAUUUACAAGUGAAGAUCCAACAAGAUGGAGAGAUUUUAUGGCAUUGGGUAAGAUGAGAAGGCCACUUAGGUGUGAUGGGUACUAAGAAGCAUUAAUCUGACCUGAUAUGAUGCAAUGGUAAAGGUUUAGAGCAGAGGGAAUGAAGAUUGAUCAUGGAGAUAUGAAAUAGCAGUUGAACAUCUGGUGCUUGAGAUUGGUGGAUAAAUCUAUAGUAUGGAAUUUCACAAUGUUGUGCUUGAUUCAAUUAGAUGAACAACCAUGCAACCAAUGCGUAGAGAGAUAUCAGGUGCCAACAAGCUCAGCGUGUUGCGAUCUGGAUCAACAUCGGUCUCAGAGCCCUUGAUCCCGAUCACUUCAAAUCUGACAAUGGUUGUUGAUUUGCACAAUUCAUGCACCAUGUAGGUGUUGAAAUCAAAUAUAAAAUGUAUUACAGAA